RNAcentral lists this ribosomal RNA (1499 nucleotides) under Weissella confusa. Its description in RNAcentral is "bacterial SSU rRNA". It matches the Rfam family "Bacterial small subunit ribosomal RNA". Lineage: Bacteria; Bacillati; Bacillota; Bacilli; Lactobacillales; Lactobacillaceae. The record is from RNAcentral.
GAUGAACGCUGGCGGCGUGCCUAAUACAUGCAAGUCGAACGCUUUGUGGUUCAACUGAUUUGAAGAGCUUGCUCAGAUAUGACGAUGGACAUUGCAAAGAGUGGCGAACGGGUGAGUAACACGUGGGAAACCUACCUCUUAGCAGGGGAUAACAUUUGGAAACAGAUGCUAAUACCGUAUAACAAUGACAACCGCAUGGUUGUUAUUUAAAAGAUGGUUCUGCUAUCACUAAGAGAUGGUCCCGCGGUGCAUUAGCUAGUUGGUAAGGUAAUGGCUUACCAAGGCGAUGAUGCAUAGCCGAGUUGAGAGACUGAUCGGCCACAAUGGGACUGAGACACGGCCCAUACUCCUACGGGAGGCAGCAGUAGGGAAUCUUCCACAAUGGGCGAAAGCCUGAUGGAGCAACGCCGCGUGUGUGAUGAAGGGUUUCGGCUCGUAAAACACUGUUGUAAGAGAAGAAUGACAUUGAGAGUAACUGUUCAAUGUGUGACGGUAUCUUACCAGAAAGGAACGGCUAAAUACGUGCCAGCAGCCGCGGUAAUACGUAUGUUCCAAGCGUUAUCCGGAUUUAUUGGGCGUAAAGCGAGCGCAGACGGUUAUUUAAGUCUGAAGUGAAAGCCCUCAGCUCAACUGAGGAAUUGCUUUGGAAACUGGAUGACUUGAGUGCAGUAGAGGAAAGUGGAACUCCAUGUGUAGCGGUGAAAUGCGUAGAUAUAUGGAAGAACACCAGUGGCGAAGGCGGCUUUCUGGACUGUAACUGACGUUGAGGCUCGAAAGUGUGGGUAGCAAACAGGAUUAGAUACCCUGGUAGUCCACACCGUAAACGAUGAGUGCUAGGUGUUUGAGGGUUUCCGCCCUUAAGUGCCGCAGCUAACGCAUUAAGCACUCCGCCUGGGGAGUACGACCGCAAGGUUGAAACUCAAAGGAAUUGACGGGGACCCGCACAAGCGGUGGUGCAUGUGGUUUAAUUCGAAGCAACGCGAAGAACCUUACCAGGUCUUGACAUCCCUUGACAACUCCAGAGAUGGAGCGUUCCCUUCGGGGACAAGGUGACAGGUGGUGCAUGGUUGUCGUCAGCUCGUGUCGUGAGAUGUUGGGUUAAGUCCCGCAACGAGCGCAACCCUUAUUACUAGUUGCCAGCAUUCAGUUGGGCACUCUAGUGAGACUGCCGGUGACAAACCGGAGGAAGGUGGGGAUGACGUCAAAUCAUCAUGCCCCUUAUGACCUGGGCUACACACGUGCUACAAUGGCGUAUACAACGAGUUGCCAACCCGCGAGGGUGAGCUAAUCUCUUAAAGUACGUCUCAGUUCGGAUUGUAGGCUGCAACUCGCCUACAUGAAGUCGGAAUCGCUAGUAAUCGCGGAUCAGCACGCCGCGGUGAAUACGUUCCCGGGUCUUGUACACACCGCCCGUCACACCAUGAGAGUUUAUAACACCCAAAGCCGGUGGGGUAACCUUCGGGAGCCAGCCGUCUAAGGUGGGACAGAUGAUUAGGGUG